Molecule: non-coding RNA, 3951 nt
Organism: Coturnix japonica (Japanese quail)
Lineage: Eukaryota; Metazoa; Chordata; Aves; Galliformes; Phasianidae
Source: RefSeq, a predicted model, not a curated record
GUUCUCCUCCAUCAUGGCACUGAGGCGAUGCUCCAGCUCACGUUUUCUGUCUGUCAGCAUUUUGAUCUGCAGAGGGAUGAGAGCCGGCGUUGGACCCCAUACUUUCCAGGUUGCUGGAAAUGUUUGGCUGCACAGAGGAAUAUCAGCAAAGCACGUCUUGCUGUUUCUGCAGGGUAAAGGCUGUUGUAGGGAUCAGAAAGCUGCUCGCAGGUGGACGUUGUCCUUUACCAACCUGGCCAGCACAGCUACCAGCCUUCACCUUGCUCACCCCAAGCAGCUGGUUUGUUCACCCAGCACAGAAGGGUUCGUCUUAUGGAUGACAGCAGCCCUGACCGCUGUCUGAAGGAGCAAGGCCAAGCACGGGUGACUCACCUCAGCCUGGAGGCUCUCGAGCCGCACGAUGUGUUGGCUGCUGGAGGAGUUCUUCUCCCGAAAGUCCUCCCGGAGCGUGUGGACCUGCAGGGAGAGCUGCCGCUCCACCUCGGAUGCCUACAAGGAGACACCAGCCGGCAUUACCAUGGGGGGUUGUCCCAUGGCUGGAAAGCACUGAUCUGCAGACCUGCCCUCGUAUGACUUCUGCACAAGCCUUGGUUUUGGUUGAAGCUUUGAAGUUAGUUGAGUUUGGACCUGGGAAAUUCUCAUUUGGGAUGGGAGUGAAGGACAGCACCUGGUUAGAUGGACCACGCUAAUUUUCCCUUGGGAAAACUUUCCCUUGGAGGACACAGCUUAGGCUGCUGGAACAUCUUCAUGCUGAAAUACUCCACGGGAGCUAUCAAGGAUGAAAAAGCACCAGAUGAGAAGCACCGAAGGAUUUUGCCUGCGAGAUGCUGACCACACUCCCAAGGAGCACAAGCGGUACGAGAUGAGAUGACAUGGCAGCACCCAAUGUUUAACUGCAUAACAUCACCUACAUGCCUGAACAGCUCUAUGUGCAGGCAGUACAAGCAUGCAGCAUGGCAGUGAAAAAGAAGGGAAUGUUAACAGCACUGUAAAAAUCCGUGGUAAGACAGUUCACAGCUGCUGGAUCUGGUUCUGGUCCCUGUGCUCAGAGUGGAGAAGGUAAAGGGAGGGGCUGCAAGAGUGAUCCAGAGCAUGGCAAAUCUGUUAUAUGGAAGGAGACUUAAAGAGGAUGGCUUGCUUUAUCUCAUGCCAUGACUGCUGAGAGAGGGCUCCCCAUAAAUACAUCACAGCAUGCAGAAGGGGAAGCACGAUUUAAGCAGAAGUACAAUUGAGGCAGAAGAACUGAUGUGAAUAAACUGGCUAAGAGUAUAUUGAGGCUGGGAACUGGAAGAUUUCUAUGUUUCCAAGGAGCUGCAGUCAGAUCCCUCUUCUUGCACAAUUACAGUAGGAGGAACGGCAGCAAUAAUGAAUUCUGCAGUGGAGCUGGGUCACUUCAUCACCCGGCGUCUUUCAGAGAACUGCCUGUGACAGAAGGGAAAUGAAUUGACCUCAGAGGUCUUUUCCAGUUCUACAAUGCUUGCAGGACUGUAAGGUUUGCGUUAACCACCUCUUCAUCCUCAUCUGGAACGUAUCUACUUGCUGCUCAGCUUACACACUCACACACCCUAUUCCUGCAGCUGCAGCCCCCGGAAGGAAGGAAGGACUCCCUUACUGCCAGCAUCCAGGGCACCAAUGCAGACAGUGCUGUUGCCUCAGCCUACACCAUUCACAUCCUACCUAGUGCAGUAAAGUGAAAAGAAUUCCUUGGCCUCACAACCUGCAGAACACUAUCCCUGAGGAACUGUUUAACAGAAAUAAACAGGAAUGGCUCCAUCAUGUCUUUCCUUCCACAGGAGAACAAGGAAAAAUCCUCAUCUGCUUCUUCUAGGCAGUGAAAUGGCUGAUGCAGAUGUAUCCCUUUUUGCAAAGAUUUGAGUUUUCAUAAAGGCAAAGCCUGCUGAGCUGAGCUGAGGUCAUACAACCCUCCCUGUAGAGCUGUAGAGUUUCAUGCUACAUUUGUUUCCGACAUUAUUAAUACUGCUGCCAAAUUAUCCCUUCGAAUUGAUUAGAAAGUUGAGAUUUCCACAUUCAUUUGCAUUGCACAUAGGAAGCCACCUUGACAGCAUCCAACAUUCUGCAGGUUUUACAAUGUAUUUUCAUAUGUUUUCUGCUUGGGUUAUCACACCGCCGCCAGCUUCUGCGCGUUGUGCCUGUUUGCUCUAAACCACGAGCUCACUAUUGAUUAUUUCAGACAUCAGUGUCAUCAGAGAAUGUAACCUUCCAUCUACAUUUUCCAUUCACUGCUCAAAUAAGCCAUGGCUCUCACAUCUGUUGAACUGACGUGAGCUUCCUCUGCCCCAGCCAGUCUGGCUCUACUCUUACUAUGCGAACCGGAGUGCUUUCUCUUCUCCAUCAGUGUUUUCCUACACAAUAAAGGCUACACCAGCUGCCCAGGGGGUGGUGGGGUCACCCACCGUCCCUGGAGCUGAUCCAGAGCCAUGAAGGUGUAGCACUGAGGGAUGUGGGCAGUGGGCACAGUGGGGUGGGCUGGGGGAUCUGAGAAGUGUUUUCCAACCUCGGUGAUUCUAUGAAAAUAAAUGUAAAUACUGUCACUAAAUAACGUGUAAAUAAAUGUCACGACCAUCAAGAAAGGCUCUCUAACACUUGGGAUGGACUGUGAGAAAUGAACGCCUUGCUGGUCAAUUUCACUCAAAGAAAACCCUCUCUGGAGAGGAUAUUUGCUCCAUACAUCCAACUGCGUACAGAAUGUUUGGUUAUAAGUCGUGUCAGAAAGGAAAAAGGAAUGCAGAAAGUGGAACAGACUGUGACUGGGUGAAGAAACCAAUGCUGCCAUAUGAUUUGCUUCUACAAACAACAUGAUUCCAAUUUAACAAAGGAUAUCGAAGAUUUGCUUGCCUAAAAUAGAUAAGAGAAGAACUAAUUAGUGCUAAAUUCAGAAACUCCAGAGAGCGUUACCCCUGCAUUGAUUUGCUCAUCACUGAAUCCAAGGGACUCCCCGUUCCCACUGUGGUACUGUUAAUAACACUCCACCAAGCAAAGGGCAGAUACCAGUAGUGAGAGCACAGCUACUGAGCUACUGCGGGUAAGAUUUACUUCCUAACACAGACCUUUUUGCUCAGGACCCAUCUCAGCCCUCAGCUCUCUCCCCAGUGACUUUGCUUCCUACCUGCAGCUCAUCGGGGCAUCCUAUACUAACAGCAGGUGCACAAAAGAAGGAAAAACUGAGAAUUUUUUUAGCACAAAAUUCAUCUGUCAAGGAAAAAAAAUAAAAAGGAAUGGAAGAUGGAAAGGGUGAGGAUUCUUAAUUGCCAAAGCCAAGAGCUUUGUAAGCGAGGAGACCUGGAACUGCUCUUUUCUAAGCAUCGAGCUCAGGAGAUGUUACUGAUAGGAAAUGGCUCUUAGCCGUAGCAUCAAACCUGCUUCAUGAAACAGAGGAGGCAGUGGCAUCUCAUGUUAAAAUCUGCACUUCUCACACAGUGGUGGUAUUUUGGAAAUGAGAUACUUCAUCCCUUGCACAAAAAUGAAAGCUCUUUGCUGCAAACAUGUCUCUUACUCUUCAGUUUUUUCCCUUCUGUAGGACAAAUGGGAAAUGCUUUGAAAACCUGAGUUUUAACAUGAAAAAUGACAAGACUGUGAGCAGUCACCUCUUUGCACUCAUCACUGACACGGUGGGUUCUUGUGGGUAGCAAAAGGGUUAAUGCAGCAUCAGGCCAGAUAUCUCACACCUGAGCCAUGAGGGUCAACAGGGAGCUGGCCUGUAAGACAACAAGGAGCAGCUGGUCUGCUUGUGUGUGGGGUGGGGUUUGUGUCUGUUCUGGGAGAUAAGAAGUUGUUGAUGGAGCACUGGAUGUUUGGUUCUCAAUCUGAAGCCUGUUUUGAAGGAGGAAAGCUGCCUGUGUUGGCUGGCUUUGGUUGCUUCCCAUGUUUCAUGUAGCUGGGGAGUCAGAACUGCUGCUGGAAAUAGCUGCUGUUAACAUCCAGGUAACACAA